Molecule: ribosomal RNA, 459 nt
Filed under: uncultured soil bacterium
Lineage: Bacteria
Description: bacterial SSU rRNA
Rfam family: Bacterial small subunit ribosomal RNA
Source: RNAcentral
GUCGAGGGGUAGAGUUAGCUUGCUAACUUGAGACCGGCGCACGGGUGCGUAACGCGUAUGCAAUCUACCUUUUACAGAGGGAUAGCCCAGAGAAAUUUGGAUUAAUACCUCAUAGUAUAAUGACCCGGCAUCGGGAUGUUAUUAAAGUUACAACGGUAAAAGAUGAGCAUGCGUCCUAUUAGCUAGUUGGUGUGGUAACGGCAUACCAAGGCUACGAUAGGUAGGGGUCCUGAGAGGGAGAUCCCCCACACUGGUACUGAGACACGGACCAGACUCCUACGGGAGGCAGCAGUGAGGAAUAUUGGUCAAUGGGCGCAAGCCUGAACCAGCCAUGCCGCGUGCAGGAUGAAGCAUCUAUGGUGUGUAAACUGCUUUUGUACGAGAAGAAACACUCCUACGUGUAGGAGCUUGACGGUAUCGUAAGAAUAAGGACCGGCUAACUCCGUGCCAGCAGCCGCG